This 283-nucleotide ribosomal RNA is filed under the name Priestia megaterium. Its description in RNAcentral is "Bacillus megaterium partial 16S ribosomal RNA". It matches the Rfam family "Bacterial small subunit ribosomal RNA", at positions 561 to 842 of the family's 1533-position model. The record is from RNAcentral. Lineage: Bacteria; Bacillati; Bacillota; Bacilli; Caryophanales; Bacillaceae.
UAAAGCGCGCGCAGGCGGUUUCUUAAGUCUGAUGUGAAAGCCCACGGCUCAACCGUGGAGGGUCAUUGGAAACUGGGGAACUUGAGUGCAGAAGAGAAAAGCGGAAUUCCACGUGUAGCGGUGAAAUGCGUAGAGAUGUGGAGGAACACCAGUGGCGAAGGCGGCUUUUUGGUCUGUAACUGACGCUGAGGCGCGAAAGCGUGGGGAGCAAACAGGAUUAGAUACCCUGGUAGUCCACGCCGUGAACGAUGAGUGCUAAGUGUUAGAGGGUUUCCGCCCUUUA